RNAcentral lists this ribosomal RNA (647 nucleotides) under uncultured organism. RNAcentral's name for it is "bacterial SSU rRNA". It matches the Rfam family "Bacterial small subunit ribosomal RNA", at positions 87 to 749 of the family's 1533-position model. The record is from RNAcentral.
GUACAUCAGCGGCAGACGGGUGAGUAACACGUAUGUGACCUAGCCUACAGAUGGGGAUAAGGGGAUGGAAACAUGCGCUAAUACCCAAUGGUCCUGUAGAGUCAAAUCUAUAGGUAAAGCUUCGGCACUUUAGGAUUGGGCUGCUGCCCAUCAGCUAGUUGGUAUGGUAACGUGUCUACCAAGGUAAAGACGGGUAUGGGGUGUGAGAUCAUGACCCCCCACAAUGGGACUGAGACACGGGCCAUACUCCUACGGGAGGCAGCAGCAGGGAAUAUUGCACAAUGGACGGAAGUCUGAUGCAGCGACGCCGCGUGGAUGAUGAAGUGCCCUCGGGUCGGUAGAAUCCUUUUCAGGAGGAAGAGGAAGGACGGUACCCCUUGGAAUAAGCGUCGUGUAACUACGUGCCAGCAGUCGCGGUAAUACGUAGGACGCAAGCGUUAUCCGGAUUUACUGGGCGUAAACGCGUCUGUAGGCUGAUCGAUAAGUUGGGCGUGAAAGCUCCGUGCUUAACGCGGAGAGGUCGUUCAAGACUGUCGAACUAGAGGGCACCAUAGGAGCAUGGAAUUUCCGGUGUAGCGGUAAAAUGCGCAGAUAUCGGAAGGAACACCAGUGGCGAAGGCGGUGCUCUGGGGUGUACCUGACGCUGA